Molecule: long non-coding RNA, 259 nt
Filed under: Manihot esculenta (cassava)
Lineage: Eukaryota; Viridiplantae; Streptophyta; Magnoliopsida; Malpighiales; Euphorbiaceae
Description: long non-coding RNA (MESC_LNC011364)
Source: RNAcentral
CCGCAGCAAGCUUCCGACCUCCCUCUCCCAAAUCUUGUGUUUUUCCUUCAAUCCCCACCAUUUUCUUUGAGUUUAAAGGUUCCACAAAGGUUUUUGAGUGUUUUUAAGCAAGUUUGGAGCUUGGAAGUCUUGGAGCUAAAUCCCUCCAUUUUCCGAGCUAGGGUCGUUCUUCCUCUCGAUCUUCAAGAGGUAAGCUUCGAUCUAUGCUUCUUUUAUGUUUUAUGAAAGUUUUAUACAAGUUGAUGGGGUAGAAUGCAUG